AGCAAAGAUAAUGAACACUGAUCUUAUUCACAUAAUAAUCCAAGAUUAAUUAUAAAGAUUAGAUUGUAUGUUUCUAUUUAUUUCACUGACAUGGACUGUCAAAAUUCUCUUCUUUUCAGUGUGUUUGAAAAAUGGAGCAAUUGGAUGAUUUGGAGUUGGAGGAUGAUCUUCAGGACACAGAUAAACUUCUGCAGAAUUUACAUAAUGAGGCAGAGGCACAGAGGAAAGAAAACCCAGCGCCGGUCAAAUGGAGGAAGAGAGAUGGGCAAGGAAAUCGUAUUCCUCAAAGGCCAUUUAGGAAAAAGCCACCUGCACACCGCGGCCCCGCAAAGCGACAGAAGUGUCCAGGGACAGUGCAUUCCCAAUGUGAUGUACCAACUGAUGUCAGU
Long non-coding RNA from Fundulus heteroclitus (mummichog), 389 nucleotides. RefSeq lists it as uncharacterized. The transcript is spliced from 4 exons. Lineage: Eukaryota; Metazoa; Chordata; Actinopteri; Cyprinodontiformes; Fundulidae. The record is from RefSeq and is a predicted model, not a curated record.